Long non-coding RNA from Triticum dicoccoides, 2129 nucleotides. RefSeq lists it as uncharacterized. The transcript is spliced from 2 exons. Lineage: Eukaryota; Viridiplantae; Streptophyta; Magnoliopsida; Poales; Poaceae. The record is from RefSeq and is a predicted model, not a curated record.
GCCCAUGUGCGAGGGGAUUUGCUGCCCAAUCUCCGCAUGACCCGACCGCGUCUCCUCUCACGUUGUGGAAGUCCCCAGGCCCCCAGCCCCCACGGGACAAACCCUAGCCUCACCAAGCCCCACAGCACGUAGUCCUCCCUCCUCCUCCAUCCUCGUUAGCAGCCGCCGCCAUUCUGCCUCCCUCCUCUCUGUCCUACGACCAUGCUGCCGGGAGGAAGCUAUUGUUCGUGGUGCCAUACCGCAGCCGGGGUGCUGCACAAGAGGCCAGGGGCCGCCGCCACCGCGAGCCAUGGGACGCCCGUCGAUGAGCCUUCGGGCAGGAAGCCCGCAUCGAGCACGCCAUCAACAAGCCGCCAGGACGACCUACUGGCCGGUCCCGCGUCGUCGAGCAAGGGCCCUGGUUGCACCGUCGUGGAGGAGGCGCACCAUUAAGGAGUAGCAAUGCCGUCGAACUCCCUCUUCCCUUCUGGCUGCACCUUCCCUAUGAGCUUUUCUUCCAUUCCCUUGCUUUGCCUCUCCUCCUGCUCACUCUCCCUUCCGUGCUCCUCAGCUUUCUUUCGAUUUGCUUGUGCCUGCAGGUCCAUGGACAUUGUUAGAAUGGUUAAUUUAUUCCAGUGUAUUAUUUUCAGUGAUCAUGUUUGUUUAAGACUCCAUGGCAAUUCUCAAGAAUUUCUGUUUUUAGUUGCUUGGCUAAUGUGUUAAAGUGCAUAUGCUCGAGUUUGGUCACUUUUGAUGAUUUUUUCAGUAUGCUAUAAUUUGUUCACUUUUGAGAUUCAAUUAUAUUAGCAUAGUCUUCUCCCGGAGCAGCAAAAUGGAGGACAAAAAUGUCAGCUCUGAUGUGCGUCAGGCUCAACGAUGCCUGCCUCCUUGCCCCUCCCUAAACGACAUGGUCCUCUUCAGUUUGCAGGUUGCCACUUCCUCUGUUCUCAUUGAUUUUCUUCGAACGGUGUACUGAUCCACACUGAAUGUGUAUGAAAAUGUUUUUGCUGGGGCAUUUGUGCACCAAGCAAAUGGGUAAGGAAAUUGGAGAACUGGGAUCUAACAUUGUUAGUCAAGUGUCUAGGUGAACAAUUUGUGGCCAGCAUGGAAAAGACAUCUCGUGAAAAUCUAGUAGAAGCGUCACUCUAGAAACUCCUCCAACAUGCUGAGAAGAGUUGGUUCUCAUCUCAAAGACGCUGAAAUCAAAAUUGUGGAGGUUCAGAAGGUAAAGCAAUCACCAUUACCCAGGGAGGGAUGCCGCAUCAAUCAGAUGCUAACCUUCUUCACAAACUCAUCACCGAAACUGUAGAUUGAUCAGGUUCACCUGCUCUACAUAGGUAGAUGGAGUUAAGGCAUUUCUCUUCAAAUUACUAAACUGAAUAAUAGUAAUCUCUACCUGUAGAGAUUAUCUCUAGAUACUGGUCGUAUUUUAAGAUCCUGGAUGAAAGGUUGUUCAAUUCUAUCAAGAUUCUUUAGUGAUCUAAUAUUUGAGCACGUAGAAUCUGAUUGUUUAUUUUCCUUAUGUUAUAGUUGUAAAAUACUAAUGGGUAGUUUCUGAAUAUUUUGUUUGUAGUCUCCACUCAUGUGAAAUUGCUCAUUCAAUUAUCUUCUAUGUAUAUGUUGCAGGUUACAAACAGUAUGGUAUCUUUUCUGCUAUGGGUGCUUUGACAAAUAAAAUGCAAUGUCGCUUUUGAUGUUGAGAGAAUAUCCAAUUGAGCAUCUUUCCGCAAUAAAAAUUAGACAGGAAGGGUAUGAGGGAGGGGUGUAUUAAAUCCAUAUGAGUGGAUGUUAAAUCCAUGGAUGAAGAAACAAAUAGAAAGGAAGUAAAUCAUAGGAAGAAGAGAUAGGUAGGUUUUACAAGUACAAGUGAAGGCCAGUUGGCUGGAGCAAAACCAAUAUGUUGCUUCACCGAGCUACUGAGAAAGGAGAAGAAAAAAGAGAAAGCUGACUCAUUAUGUGUUCAGGCCUCUUGACAUUCUCCUCUAAUUGGGCCUAAUCCUGUUAAGCCUUCAUGAGCCAAGUAUGGUGGAUUCUUAGAUGACAACUUGAUAUGUAGUUCUCCUAUUACAGUGCUUCGAUCAGUUAAUACUCCCUCUGUUGUGAAGUUUAUGUGAAGUGUGUUCGUGCCAUUAAAGAAUUUAUUAUUUCUA